Molecule: RNA transcript, 2413 nt
Organism: Gastrolobium bilobum
Lineage: Eukaryota; Viridiplantae; Streptophyta; Magnoliopsida; Fabales; Fabaceae
Gene name: protein NRT1/ PTR FAMILY 5.2-like
Exons: 6
Source: RefSeq, a predicted model, not a curated record
AAAUGCUAAGUUAGUUUCUUCAAAGAGAUCAAAGCAUAGUAGGAGAUAGAGUUCUCUCAUUCUCAUCUCAGAGAGGGAAAACCCUUCUUGAUAUUCCUUGUUUCCAUCUAAGGGAUCAAAAGGGUAAAGGGGAAAAAGGAAAAGAGAGAAAGGGAGAGAGAGGUUUGUGCUGUUGUUGAGUAAACAAAAGAUAAAUAUGACUGUGGAAGAGGGAAGGGUCGUUAGUGAGGAAUACACACAAGAUGGAACCGUGAAUCUUAAGGGGAAACCUAUUCUUAGAUCCAAAAGUGGUGGUUGGAAAGCUUGCUCCUUUGUAGUUGUGUACGAGAUAUUCGAAAGGAUGGCUUAUUAUGGGAUAUCAUCAAAUUUGAUCCUGUAUCUGACAAAAAAGCUUCACCAAGGCACAGUAACCUCUGCAAAUAAUGUCACUAAUUGGGUUGGCACCAUUUGGAUUACACCCAUAUUAGGUGCCUACGUUGCUGACGCUCACUUAGGCCGCUAUUGGACAUUUGUCAUUGCCUCUACCAUUUAUCUCUCGGGUAUGUCUCUGCUUACACUAGCAGUGUCCCUUCCUAGCCUAAAGCCACCUCAAUGCUCUGUAGCGGAUGUGACAAAAUGCAAGAAAGCCUCCACGCUACAGCUAGCUGUGUUCUAUGGUGCACUUUACACUCUAGCUGUGGGAACUGGUGGAACUAAGCCCAACAUCUCCACCAUUGGAGCUGACCAAUUUGAUGAUUUUCACCCUAAAGAGAAGUCACAUAAGCUCUCCUUCUUCAAUUGGUGGAUGUUCAGCAUCUUCUUUGGAACCCUCUUUGCAAACACUGUUCUAGUGUAUAUCCAAGAUAAUGUGGGAUGGACUCUUGGGUAUGCUCUUCCAACUCUUGGUCUUGCAGUAUCAAUCAUGAUAUUCUUGGCAGGCACACCCUUCUAUAGACACAAAUUGCCUGCAGGGAGUACCUUCACUAGAAUGGCUAGGGUCAUAGUUGCUGCUUUAAGGAAAUGGGAAGUGCCUAUUCCUCGUGACCCUAAAGAAUUAUUUGAACUUGAUAUGGAAGGGUAUGCAAAGAAAGGCAGUUACAGAAUUGAUAGCACUCCAACAUUGAGGUUCCUCGACAAGGCCUGUGUCAAAACAGAUUCAAGUACUAGUCCAUGGAUGCUAUGCACUGUUACCCAAGUAGAGGAGACAAAACAAAUGCUAAGGAUGAUUCCCAUCUUGGUUGCUACAUUUGUUCCUAGUACAAUGAUGGCUCAGAUAAAUACCCUUUUUGUAAAGCAAGGAACUACCCUUGACAGACACAUUGGGAGCUUCAAAAUUCCCGCAGCAAGUUUAGCUGCAUUUGUUACUUUGUCCUUGCUUAUCUGUGUUGUGCUCUAUGACCGUUUCUUUGUCAAGAUUAUGCAGAGGUUUACCAAGAACCCCAGAGGGAUUACACUUCUUCAAAGAAUGGGAAUUGGUCUUGUAAUUCACACAAUGAUUAUGAUAAUUGCAUCUGGUACUGAAAGUUAUAGACUUAGAGUGGCAAGAGAACAUGGGUUGGUUGAAAGUGGAGGACAGGUUCCUUUGAGCAUAUUCAUUUUGCUUCCUCAGUUUAUAAUUAUGGGAACAGCUGAUGCUUUCUUAGAGGUUGCAAAAAUUGAGUUUUUCUAUGACCAGGCACCAGAAAACAUGAAGAGCCUUGGGACUUCAUAUUCCUCAACUACCUUAGCCUUUGGCAAUUUCAUAAGUUCCUUUCUUCUCACAACCGUAUCACACAUCACUAAGGAACAUGGUCACAAAGGGUGGAUUUUGAACAAUCUCAAUGAUUCUCGUCUUGAUUACUACUAUGCAUUCUUCGCAGUACUAAACUUCCUGAACCUCAUCUUCUUCGUGAUUGUCUCAAGAUUCUAUGUAUAUAAGGCUGAAGUUUCAGAUUCCAUAGAAGUGCUAGCAAAAGAACUGAAGGAAAAGAAAGAGUCUUAUCUAACGGAAGAAGAUUAGGAUAUAUGAAUUUCAAAACUGCUAUACUUAGAACUUUGGAUUGCCAAAGAACUAUAUUUAUAAUAUAUAGGUUUUGGUACUUGGAUUAGCGCGUGAUCAUUUUUCCUUAUCCUGUGCGGCUGUUGAGAAAUGGCACGCGCGUCUCGAAAGGAAUGUAACCUCUUUGAAGGAUCCAUUAUAUCAGUUUGUGUUACUUCUUCAAUUUUCCCUUCCACCUGCAAUAAAAAGAAAAAUCUCCCCGUUAAACCCGAUCAGCGAGUGUGGGGUGGAGGUAAUCCUUGUACGCAGCAUUACCCUUGCAUAAUUGCAAAGAAGCUAUUUCCUGGAUUCGAACAUUGGUACAAUUACUAUAUUAUUUGGAGUUAGUGAGAGUGAAGGCUCAGUCAUCAUGCUUGCAACGUAUGCCUGUGCCUCAGUUUAACUCACUCUAUGGUG